GCACCCGUGGUGAAAUUGGCAACCACGAUGGACUUAAAAUCCAUUCCCGGUAACGGGUUGCGAGUCCGAGUCUCGCCGGGUGCA
This 84-nucleotide transfer RNA is filed under the name Caudoviricetes sp. RNAcentral describes it as "tRNA-Leu". It matches the Rfam family "tRNA". Rfam says of the family: Transfer RNA (tRNA) molecules are approximately 80 nucleotides in length. Lineage: Duplodnaviria; Heunggongvirae; Uroviricota; Caudoviricetes. The record is from RNAcentral.